AUGAGCCGGGCGGCAUGCUUACACAUGCAGUCGAACGGCAGCGCGGGGCAACUGGCGGCGAGUGGCGAACGGGUGAGUAAUAUAUCGGAACGUACCCUGGAGUGGGGGAUAACGUAGCGAAAGUUACGCUAAUACCGCAUACGAUCUAAGGAUGAAAGUGGGGGAUGCGCAAGCACCUCAUGCUCCUGGAGCGGCCGAUAUCUGAUUAGCUAGUUGGUGGGGUAAAGGCCUACCAAGGCAUCGAUCAGUAGCUGGUCUGAGAGGACGACCAGCCACACUGGAACUGAGACACGGUCCAGACUCCUACGGGAGGCAGCAGUGGGGAAUUUUGGACAAUGGGCGAAAGCCUGAUCCAGCGAUGCCGCGUGAGUGAAGAAGGCCUUCGGGUUGUAAAGCUCUUUUGUCAGGGAAGAAACGGUGAGAGCUAAUAUCUCUUGCUAAUGACGGUACCUGAAGAAUAAGCACCGGCUAACUACGUGCCAGCAGCCGCGGUAAUACGUAGGGUGCAAAGCGUUAAUCGGGAAUUACUGGGGCGUAAAGCGUGCGCAGGCGGUUUGUAAGUCUGUCCGUGAAAUCCCCGGGGCUCAACCUGGGAAUUGGAUGGAGACUGCAAGGUAGAAUUCUGGCAGAGGGGGGUAGAAUUCCACGGUUGUUAGCCAGGUGGAAAAUUGGCGGUUAGAAAGAUUGUUGGGGGGAAACACCCGGAUUGGGCGAAAAGGGGGCAGGGCCCCCCCUGGGGGUCCAAGGAAUUUGGGACGCUUCCAUUGGCCGA
RNAcentral lists this ribosomal RNA (772 nucleotides) under uncultured bacterium. RNAcentral's name for it is "bacterial SSU rRNA". It matches the Rfam family "Bacterial small subunit ribosomal RNA", at positions 29 to 719 of the family's 1533-position model. The record is from RNAcentral.